This 324-nucleotide ribosomal RNA is filed under the name uncultured bacterium. RNAcentral's name for it is "bacterial SSU rRNA". It matches the Rfam family "Bacterial small subunit ribosomal RNA", at positions 28 to 334 of the family's 1533-position model. The record is from RNAcentral.
GAUGAACGCUGGCGGCGUGCCUAACACAUGCAAGUCGAGCGAAGCAAUCGAGAUGAAGUUUUUGGAUGGAUUCCUGAUUGACUGAGCGGGCGACGGGUGAAGGUACGCGUGGUAACCUGCCUCAUACAGGGGGAUAACAGUUAGAAAUGACUGCUAAUACCGCAUAAGCGCACAGUACCACAUGGUACGGUGUGAAAAAACUCCGGUGGUAUGAGAUGGACCCGCGUCUGAUUAGCUGGUUGGUGGGGUAACGGCCCACCAAGGCGACGAUCAGUAGCCGACCUGAGAGGGUGAUCGGCCCAUUGGGACUGAGACACGGCCCAA